RNAcentral lists this small nuclear RNA (18 nucleotides) under Arabidopsis thaliana (thale cress). RNAcentral's name for it is "snRNA_10352". The record is from RNAcentral. Lineage: Eukaryota; Viridiplantae; Streptophyta; Magnoliopsida; Brassicales; Brassicaceae.
CCGAAGGGUCAAACAUGA